CAAUAGCGUAUAUUAAAGUUGUUGCGGUUAAAAAGCUCGUAGUUGGAUUUCGGCGGACAGGGGGCGGUUCGAUAUUUGUCGCUACUGCCCCAUUUGUCCGUGUUUUUGGCGGAGGUUUCAGGGUGCUCUUCACCGAGUGUCCUGGGAUUCCGUCAGGUUUACUUUGAAAAAAUUAGAGUGCUCAAAGCAGGCUUUACACGCUUGAAUAUUCGUGCAUGGAAUAAUGGAAUAGGACGUCGUUUCUAUUUUGUUGGUUUUCGGAAAUCGACGUAAUGAUUAACAGGGACAGUCGGGGGCAUUAGUAUUCAGACGACAGAGGUGAAAUUCUUGGACCGUCUGAAGACUAACUACUGCGAAAGCAUUUGCCAAGAAUGUUUUCAUUAA
Molecule: ribosomal RNA, 384 nt
Filed under: uncultured eukaryote
Lineage: Eukaryota
Description: partial 18S ribosomal RNA
Rfam family: Eukaryotic small subunit ribosomal RNA
Source: RNAcentral